This is a non-coding RNA of Hanseniaspora uvarum DSM 2768, 110 nucleotides long. The record is from Rfam. Lineage: Eukaryota; Fungi; Ascomycota; Saccharomycetes; Saccharomycodales; Saccharomycodaceae.
UCCUUGUUAGCUCAGUCGGUAGAGCGUUCGACUUUUAUACAGCAGCUGUUUUCAGCUGUAAAAGAUCAAAAGGAAUCGAAAUGUCAGGGGUUCGAGCCCCCUAUGAGGAG